UAUGAAGCUGGAAUCGCUAGUAAUCGCAAAUCAGAAUGUUGCGGUGAAUACGUUCCCGGGUCUUGUACACACCGCCCGUCACACCAUGGGAGCCAGGAAUGCCCGAAGCCAGUGGCCUAACCGCAAGGGAGGAGCUGUCGAAGGCAGGCCCGGUAACUGGGGUGAAGUCGUAACAAGGUAGC
RNAcentral lists this ribosomal RNA (182 nucleotides) under uncultured bacterium. Its description in RNAcentral is "partial 16S ribosomal RNA". It matches the Rfam family "Bacterial small subunit ribosomal RNA", at positions 1319 to 1500 of the family's 1533-position model. The record is from RNAcentral.